RNAcentral lists this long non-coding RNA (715 nucleotides) under Homo sapiens (human). Its description in RNAcentral is "HSALNT0362352". The record is from RNAcentral. Lineage: Eukaryota; Metazoa; Chordata; Mammalia; Primates; Hominidae.
UUCUACCUCUUGACAUGUAGUAUGAACAUAAAGCACAGUUGAUUCCUGAGCUGUGAUGACUUUCCACUGACCAUACUACUGCAAUGAUGUUAUUCUGGGCCAAACUUCGGAAUCAAUUCUUGUCUGCUGCCUGAUUCAAUUAUUUUUAAUGCACCCUGUGGAUUUUUACUUGCUAAAGUAGAAAGAAGAUCCCAACAUUUGAUGAGAAAAUAUACAGAAGGCAUAGGUCACAUGUCUGACUCACAGCUGCGAUGUGGUGGAUCCAAAUCUCUCUGAGGCCAAAUACUGCCCAGCUCGAAUGAACGCUAUGCUCCAUGCCUGAAACAACUGCUCCAGCCCUCAGAAAAGAGUCUCCCAUUCAACUGAAGUCUGCAUAUCAGAUUCCCGUGGGAUAAUUCAUAAAGGCUCCUUGAAGUUAAUUCUGGGUAUAUCCUGAAAUAGAGGGUCUCCUCUGUUUUUUCUUCUUUUUUUCCACAACUGAGGAGACACUAGUGCCUACUUAUCUCAAUAAUGGGAUUUCUCUUUGAUGCAAUUGCAGUUUUUACUAGGCCUUUCAAUAAAUAUGUUGAAUAUUUUUCCCUGUUGUACGUGUCUGUGUGCUGCAGUGCCCUUUCUACUUUCAUAUCAGCUUAUUUCCUUUUAGCUUUUGCUACAUUUAUCAAAUAUCACAAUUGAUGUUGAGGAAGAUGAUGAUGAUGAUGUGUAGGUUUCUGUA